GACGAACGCUGGCGGCGUGCUUAACACAUGCAAGUCGAACGGAAAGGCCCCUUUGGGGGUACUCGAGUGGCGAACGGGUGAGUAACACGUGAGUAACCUGCCCUUGACUUCGGGAUAACUUCAGGAAACUGGGGCUAAUACCGGAUAGGAAUCCUUGCUGCAUGGUGGGGGUUGGAAAGCUUCGGCGGUUUUGGAUGGACUCGCGGCUUAUCAGCUUGUUGGUGGGGUAGUGGCUUACCAAGGCUUUGACGGGUAGCCGGCCUGAGAGGGCGACCGGCCACGAGGGGAGUGAACUACGCCCACGCAUGCGGCGGGGGGCGUGAGUGGAAAGUAAGGCACGGCGGGGGGAAGCUGGAGCCACCAAGGCCGCGUGGGGGAUGAGGGCAUUGGGGUUGUAACCCGCUUGCGGCAGGGGGGAGGAGUGUGGUGAUGGGACCUAAAGAAGAAGCACCGGCUCACUACGGGCAAGCAGCCGAUGUAAUAAUCGAAGAGACCUCGCCUGAUG
RNAcentral lists this ribosomal RNA (505 nucleotides) under uncultured bacterium. RNAcentral describes it as "partial 16S ribosomal RNA". It matches the Rfam family "Bacterial small subunit ribosomal RNA", at positions 35 to 539 of the family's 1533-position model. The record is from RNAcentral.